Long non-coding RNA from Saccostrea cuccullata (small rock oyster), 1282 nucleotides. RefSeq lists it as uncharacterized. The record is from RefSeq and is a predicted model, not a curated record. NCBI's taxonomy places the organism in Eukaryota, Metazoa, Mollusca, Bivalvia, Ostreida, Ostreidae. The transcript is spliced from 8 exons.
AUACCUUUUAAACUAAACACAUUCUAUUCAUCUUAAAUAUUCACGCAGAAUAAAAGGUGAAUUCCCAGAACUCUUACUAAUCUCUUCUCCAAUGUUGAGUGAAUGUGUUCAAGUACGACUUAAUUUUCUAUGUAAAUAAGGCCGCCAUGAUGAAUCUCCGCAAGAUUUUACCCCAGUGAAAAAGGCUUGUAAUUUACCCUGAUCAGCUAAGAUGUUAUUUCACUGGAUUAUUUAAUGGAUAGACUUAUUGGGCAUAUAAUUGAAUAAUUCUGUCCUCAACCUGGAAGAUAUGUUUUGUUCCUAACCAUCUAUAAUCCAUUCUCUAUGAAGUUCAGCCUGUCUGCCCAAAUUCCUUUGGAAAUACAUAGUUAGUCAACCAACAUAGAAACAAUCAAACUUGAAGGGGAAAGAAAACUACUUGAGUGUUUCUACUGACCCCCUCCAGAGAUCUGCUUAUGAGUGCAUGGGGAAUGCGGUGGACCUUCUCUCCUGUUUAAAUAUACUUUGGAGGCUGGCGCAUGAAUCUUCAUUCACAAAAGGUAUCAACAGUAUGUCUGUGGAGGUUCCAUUAUUCUUGGGAGUUAUGCCCAGCAACACAAACCAAUCAUGUCCAGCAUGUACAUUGGAUCUGCUAACUUUACUUUAGGAUUCCUAGGAUUUCAAAAGUUCAUCAUGUUCAGGAAAGAAGACAUUUUAAUUGGUAAAUGAAGGAGAGAAAAAUUGCAAGGGAGGAGGUGUAUAGUUUACAUGGUGCAUUUUUUAAGUACUAUGACUAGGGUGAAGAUGGGGAUUUCACUUGGAUAACUGAGGCUUGGUUAACUGAGGAACAGAAACAACACAUCUCUGUGGUCUCCAUAAACAGAUGAUUAACAGAUGAUUAAUAGCUGGCCAUACCAAGUUUGAACCUGACCACCCCAUUUUGGAGUAUAGAAGAUAGCACAUUCUGUUCAUCAGUCAAGGAAACAUGUACACAGCCUUCUACAUAUUGUCCAGGAUCAGAAGAAGCCAGUGGUGUUUUAUAAUUGAAAACCUCAGUGACAUCUCUUCAGAAUUUUUUUCUAGACCUUUGAAAUUUUAAACUAAAAAAUCAUAACAUGUAUAUCACAGAGAGAAGACUAUCCGUUUUUUUAUUUAUUUUUUUUAAUUUUUAUUUUUAUUUUUAUUUUUUUUUUUUUUUUAUUUUUUUUUUUUAAAAACAUCACUUUAAAGUAUGUGAGUGUCCAUAUUAUUUGUAUUCUAAUAAAUUUAAAGUUCUGAAAAAAUAAAAAAGACAUACCAGAAA